This 433-nucleotide ribosomal RNA is filed under the name uncultured bacterium. RNAcentral's name for it is "partial 16S ribosomal RNA". It matches the Rfam family "Bacterial small subunit ribosomal RNA", at positions 29 to 507 of the family's 1533-position model. The record is from RNAcentral.
AACGAACGCUGGCGGCAUGCCUAACACAUGCAAGUCGAACGAGACCUUCGGGUCUAGUGGCGCACGGGUGCGUAACGCGUUGGAACCUGCCCUUAGGUUCGGAAUAACUCCCCGUAAGGUGUGCUAAUACCGGUUAAUGUCUUCGUACCAAAUAUUUAUCGGCUUUGGAUGGUCCCGCGUUGGAUUAGCUAGUUGGUAGGGUAAAAGCCUACCAAGGCGGCGAUCGAUAUCUGGUCUGAGAGGAUGAUCAGCCACACUGGGACUGAGACACGGCACAGACUAGUACGGGAGGAAGGAGAGGGGAAUAUUGGAAAAUGGGAGAAAGCAUGAACAAGCAAUGACGCGUGAGUGAUGAAGGCGUGAGGGUUGUAAAGCUCUUGUACCCGGGAUGAUAAUGACAGUAACGGGAGAAUAAGCUACGGCUAACUACGUG